This 279-nucleotide ribosomal RNA is filed under the name uncultured bacterium. RNAcentral's name for it is "partial 16S ribosomal RNA". It matches the Rfam family "Bacterial small subunit ribosomal RNA", at positions 506 to 784 of the family's 1533-position model. The record is from RNAcentral.
UGCCAGCCGCCGCGGUAACACGGGGGGAGCAAGCGUUGUUCGGAUUCAUUGGGCGUAAAGAGCUCGUAGGCGGUUUCGUAAGUCGGGUGUGAAAAAUCUGGGCUCAACCCAGUGGAGCACCCGAUACUGCGAUGACUCGAGUCCGGUAGAGGAGUGUGGAAUUUCUGGUGUAGCGGUGAAAUGCGCAGAUAUCAGAAGGAACACCGACAGCGAAGGCAGCGCUCUGGGCCGGUACUGACGCUGAGGAGCGAAAGCAUGGGGAGCAAACCGGAUUAGAUA